GCCCCGUUGGCUCAAUGGUUAAUCAUUUGGCUGCUAACCGAAAGGUAGGUGGUUUGAAUCCACCCAGAGGCU
Molecule: transfer RNA, 72 nt
Filed under: Loxodonta africana (African savanna elephant)
Lineage: Eukaryota; Metazoa; Chordata; Mammalia; Proboscidea; Elephantidae
Rfam family: tRNA
About the family: Transfer RNA (tRNA) molecules are approximately 80 nucleotides in length.
Source: Rfam by way of RNAcentral